Molecule: long non-coding RNA, 4181 nt
Filed under: Homo sapiens (human)
Lineage: Eukaryota; Metazoa; Chordata; Mammalia; Primates; Hominidae
Description: non-protein coding SLC25A25-AS1:1
Source: RNAcentral
CCUGGGUUUUGCUGUGUUACCCAGGCUGGUCUCGCACUCUAGGGCUCAAGGGAACUGCCCGCCUCAGCCUCCCGAAGUGCUGGGAUUACAGGAGUGAGCCCCGACGCCCAGCCAGGAAACUUUUAAAGUUUUAUUUUCUUUAUUAGUAUUUUUAAAACAAAAUAACUCAUGUUCCUGUAAUAGCUACCAUUUGAGUAAGGUAGAAGUGAGCGCUCGAGGCAGGGAGUGUGACGUUUGGAAGCAGGUGGCUGUGCAGUUGGUGACCUCCGUUUUUCCCACGGGGUUGGUCUGCCACCGGCUGUGUUCUCAUCCCCAUCCUGGGCGUCUGCCUGUCGGCGUAUGUCACAUUGGCUUGUUCUCAUGGCGCAUAGUGCCCUGCCGCCUGGAUGCACCACAGUCCUUCAGCCAGCCCCCACUGUGUGCCCUCUGUGGGUGUUAACUCCAGGUACUUGGGCUGCAGGGUAGAGGAGGCAGCCAGGCCUGAGGCUGUGCCCAUCUGUGGCCUUAGGAGUCACAGCAGCCGCUUCUGAGAGGCCAACAGGUAUCAGGGCACCCAGAGCCACCACUGUGUCCAGAACGGCAUUUCCACUUCACUGGCCAGGUCUAAAGUCCUGAGGGGCCUUUGCUCCAGGGACCCAGGGUACCUCCCUCAGCAGGGCAGGAACUAGGCCAGGAAUACCAUGGGGCACUGAAGGAGGAGCCUCCCUCUAUCCCUGUAACCCUCCAUCCCUGUACCUCUCCAUCCCUCCAUCCCUGCACCCCUCCGUCCCUGUGCCCCUCUAUCUCUCCAUCCCUGCACCCCUCCAUCCCUGUACCCCAUCCCUGUACCCCUCCGUCCCCCAUCCCUGCACCCCUCCAUCCCUGUACCCCUCCAUCCUUCCAUCCCUGCACCCUCCAUCCCUGUACCCCUCCAUCCCUCCAUCCCUGUACCCCUCCAUCCUUCCAUCCCUGCACCCUCCAUCCCUGUACCCUUCCAUCCCUCCAUCCCUGCAUCCCUCUGUCCCUGCACCCCUCCAUCCCUCCAUCCCUGCACCCCUCCUUCGUUGUACCCCUCCAUCCUCCAUCUCUGCAUCCCUGCACCCCUCCAUCCUCCAUCCCUGUACCCUUACAUUCUCCAUCCCUGCAUUCCUCCAUCGCAGCAUCCCUGCAUGCCUCCGUUCUCUGCAUCCCUCCACCCCAGUAUCCCUGCACCUCUUCAUCCCUCCAUUCCUGCAUCCCUCUAUUUUUCCAUCCCUCCAUUCCUGUAUCCCUGUGCCCUCCAUCCUCCAUCCCAGCAUCCCUCCAUCCCUGCUCCCCACUCUCACUUCCCUUCCCUUCACAGACAGGCUUUUCCUGCCAUCCUCAGACCCCACCCAGGGUUACCUGAUGCCUUUCCAGCUGCACACGGGGACUGACUCACCUCUCUCUUUCUCAGUCCCAAAGUCCCGAAAGAGAGCAUCUGAUGUGGUCAGCUUGUGACAAGGCGUCCACCUUCUGUCCAUGACAUGGAGGCCAGGGGAAGGUCUCACUGCCCAGCACCCCACCCUGUGCUCCCAGGCCUUUUGAAUGUUCCUCCUGCUCAGCCCAGUGACUGCGGGCUGUGGCUCCUCCUCCAGCCUCCCCUCGAGGUCCUGGUCUUACUUAGGAGGCCCCGGGUGUAGAUGCCUUCCCACCCACCAGGCAUUGCCCCUUUUCCUGGCUUCACAGACUCGGGAAUAAAGUUUCCUUCUGUUUCCCCUCUUGCAGAAGGAGAUCCGGUUGGCAGCUAAACCGCGCUGGGAACAGGGGCCUGAGUCCUGGACUAGGGCUCUUUCCCCGGGGCUGCUGCAGAUGGGGAGGAGCCUACACCCGCCUCCCGAGUGCUAAUCAGACCUGACAGGCUGGAGAAUGGCCAGUCAGCCUGAGGCCACCGCGGGACACCACCUAGGCCCAGCUUCUCCCCCCACCAGAGGGCGCCAGAGCCCGCCAAGCCUCGUAGGAGAUGGCAACAGGGCCUGCUGCUGCCACCUAGCGGCCAAUUCCGGGAAUGAAUCUCGGCACGCUCAUUACCCAGCGACUCUGCCCAUCUUGACCCUUUAUGUGAAGCAGAACAGCCGCUUCCGCAGUGAGCUGUCAGAAGGCGUCGUGCCUGUCUUGCUAGUGGGGAAACUGAGGCUCAGAGAGGCAGAAGACUUGCCCAAGAUCACACCACCGGGACCCAGGAUUCAAGCGCAGGCCUGCCCAGGCUCUCUGUGGCCUCCUGGCUGCGAGGAGGCAGCCAGGGACCAGGUGCCACCCUUCUGAGACACCUGAGAUCCCAGGCCCGAGAGGAUGAAGGCGGGAUUACCUGGAGCGUGUCUGAAUGCUGGAGGAAGAAGGGCAGCUGGGAGAUGAAGCUGUCAGGAUGGGCCGCAUCCCAUUUCCUGCCUCGUUUCAGUUCAACUUUCCAACAGACCUCCCUGGCUCGUCUUGCUCUUCUCUAAUGGACAAACAAACAGGCUCAGAGAGGUGGUGUGACUUGCCCAAGGUCACUCAGCUUGGAUGCUAUGGAACAGGGACGUCCACUGUCCCAGUCUGUUUAUGGGAAGCCGCUCUGCAACUGUCCUGACCCACCACAUGCCCCACCGCUGUUUCUCUUGCCCUGACCCCUUGUUCCCUGGACCAGGGUGGCACAGCUCCAGGCUCUUGGGCCCUUCCCGAGGGCAGGCACCUGUGACUGUGUCCCCAAAGACCUGAGUGGCUGAGGGGGCCCCACAGAGCUUGGACUUCCUGGAGGACAAGGAGGGGUCUGCCAGCCACCCCCACCACGCCCGCCCCAGGGCUCCCCUGGAGCUUCCAUGCCAGCCGGACUCAGGUGGGUCUGGAGGAGCACCGUGCCUCCAAUCAGACCUUGAGAUGUGCCCCCUGCCCCCACUGUGCCCUCCCCUGCCCAGGAGUCUGGUUGCAAACCCUGAUUAAGGGGAUUUUAUCUCCACCAGAGGGCCAGUAGGUGGGAAGUAGCUUAAACAAUGCAGGUUUAUAAUCUCACAGUUCUGGAGGUCAAGAGUCUGAAAUGGGCCUCAUGGGGCUAAAACCAAGGUGUCUGCAGGGCUGUGUUCCUUCUGGAGGCUCCAGGGCAGGAAGGGGAGGAUCCACUUCUGUGCCUUUCCAGCUUCUAGAGGCUGCCUGCGUUCCUUGGCUCGUGGCCCCUUCCUCCACCUUCAAGCCAGCAGCGGAGGCCUGAGUCCUUCUCAUGCCAUCUCUCUGUUCUCUCUCCUGCCUCCUCCUCCACACUGAAGGACCCCUGUGAUCACACUGGCCCCCCCACCGGAUGACCCAGGAUAAUCCAUCUCCCUGUUUGAAGGUCGGCUGAUUAGCAACCUUCAUUCCAUCUGCCUCCUUCAUUCCCCCUGGCCAUGUAAUGGGAUUCACAGCUUCUGGGGAUUAGGACAUGGACAUCUUGUGGCGGGGGCAUAAUUCUGUCGACGACACCAAGAAACACUUGGAUGUUAAGGAUUCACCGAACACUGUUCAGGCUCCAGGUGCUGGGAGCAGCAGUGAACAAAGCCAACAGACACUGCCACCCUCAAGGAGUUCACGUUCAUGGGCGAGGGAACAGAUGAGAAACCCGGCAAUGAAAGUAAGUAGCAUAAUUGACUUGAAAAGUGCCGGGGAGAAAGAGAAGAUGGAUGGAGAAUGACACCUGGCCCCUUCUCUAUUUCUUUAUUUGUUUCACUCUUGUUGCCCAGGCUGGAGUGCAAUGGCACAAUCUCAGCUCACUGCGACCUCUGCCUCCCAGCUUCAAGUGAUUCUGCUGCCUCAGCCUCCCAAGUAGCUUGGAUUACAGGCAUGCACGCCCAGCUCAUUUUUUUUUUUUUUUUUUUUAGUAGAGACGGGGUUUACACCAUGUUGGCCAGGCUGGUCUCAAACUCGUGACCUCAGGUGAUCCACCUGCAUCGGCCUCCCAAAGUGCUGGGAUUACAGGCAUGAGCCACCGUGCCCAGCUCCCCUUCUCUAUUUCUAAGGUGACCCAGAUUCCUUUACUGCUUUCUGGCAAAUCCACCUCUGGCCAGGCAGUAGGCCGGCAACGCAGGGCUUGAAGGCCAUAAUGGGGACGUUUGUCUAAUGGUGAGAAAGGAAACACUGGAAGGUUUUUGCUUCCCUUUUUAAAAAAUUCAGGUAUGGCCGGGCACGGUGGCUCACACCUGUAAUCCCAGCACUUUGGGAGGCCAAGGUAGGCUGAU